This 253-nucleotide ribosomal RNA is filed under the name uncultured bacterium. Its description in RNAcentral is "partial 16S ribosomal RNA". It matches the Rfam family "Bacterial small subunit ribosomal RNA", at positions 524 to 776 of the family's 1533-position model. The record is from RNAcentral.
UACGUAGGGUCCAAGCGUUAUCCGGAAUCACUGGGCGUAAAGCGCACGUAGGCGGCUUCUUAAGUCAGGGGUGAAAUCCUGGAGCUCAACUCCAGAACUGCCCUUGAUACUGAGGAGCUUGAGUCCGGGAGAGGUGAGUGGAACUGCGAGUGUAGAGGUGAAAUUCGUAGAUAUUCGCAAGAACACCAGUGGCGAAGGCGGCUCACUGGCCCGGUACUGACGCUGAGGUGCGAAAGCGUGGGGAGCAAACAGG